This 773-nucleotide ribosomal RNA is filed under the name uncultured bacterium. RNAcentral's name for it is "bacterial SSU rRNA". It matches the Rfam family "Bacterial small subunit ribosomal RNA", at positions 8 to 798 of the family's 1533-position model. The record is from RNAcentral.
AGAGUUUGAUCAUGGCUCAGGACGAACGCUGGCGGCGUGCUUAACACAUGCAAGUCGAACGGAAAGGCCCUUCGGGGUACUCGAGUGGCGAACGGGUGAGUAACACGUGGGUGAUCUGCCCUGCACUUUGGGAUAAGCCUGGGAAACUGGGUCUAAUACCGAAUAGGACCACGCGCUUCAUGGUGUGUGGUGGAAAGCUUUUGCGGUGUGGGAUGGGCCCGCGGCCUAUCAGCUUGUUGGUGGGGUAAUGGCCUACCAAGGCGACGACGGGUAGCCGGCCUGAGAGGGUGACCGGCCACACUGGGACUGGGAUACGGCCCAGACUCCUACGGGAGGCAGCAGUGGGGAAUAUUGCACAAUGGGCGCAAGCCUGAUGCAGCGACGCCGCGUGAGGGAUGACGGCCUUCGGGUUGUAAACCUCUUUCAAUAGGGACGAAGCGCAAGUGACGGUACCUAUAGAAGAAGCACCGGCCAACUACGUGCCAGCAGCCGCGGUAAUACGUAGGGUGCGAGCGUUGUCCGGAAUUACUGGGCGUAAAGAGCUCGUAGGUGGUUUGUCGCGUUGUUCGUGAAAACUCACAGCUUAACUGUGGGCGUGCGGGCGAUACGGGCAGACUAGAGUACUGCAGGGGAGACUGGAAUUCCUGGUGUAGCGGUGGAAUGCGCAGAUAUCAGGAGGAACACCGGUGGCGAAGGCGGGUCUCUGGGCAGUAACUGACGCUGAGGAGCGAAAGCGUGGGGAGCGAACAGGAUUAGAUACCCUGGUAGUCCAA